GAUGAACGCUGGCGGCGUGCCUAAUACAUGCAAGUCGAGCGAACAGACGAGGAGCUUGCUCCUCUGACGUUAGCGGCGGACGGGUGAGUAACACGUGGAUAACCUACCUAUAAGACUGGGAUAACUUCGGGAAACCGGAGCUAAUACCGGAUAAUACAUUGAACCGCAUGGUUCAAUAGUGAAAGACGGUUUUGCUGUCACUUAUAGAUGGGUCCGCGCCGCAUUAGCUAGUUGGUAAGGUAACGGCUUACCAAGGCAACGAUGCGUAGCCGACCUGAGAGGGUGAUCGGCCACACUGGAACUGAGACACGGUCCAGACUCCUACGGGAGGCAGCAGUAGGGAAUCUUCCGCAAUGGGCGAAAGCCUGACGGAGCAACGCCGCGUGAGUGAUGAAGGUCUUCGGAUCGUAAAACUCUGUUAUUAGGGAAGAACAAAUGUGUAAGUAACUAUGCACGUCUUGACGGUACCUAAUCAGAAAGCCACGGCUAACUACGU
Molecule: ribosomal RNA, 496 nt
Filed under: uncultured bacterium
Lineage: Bacteria
Description: partial 16S ribosomal RNA
Rfam family: Bacterial small subunit ribosomal RNA
Source: RNAcentral